This 364-nucleotide unclassified non-coding RNA is filed under the name uncultured Gemmatimonadaceae bacterium. RNAcentral describes it as "contains 16S-23S intergenic spacer region". The record is from RNAcentral. Lineage: Bacteria; Pseudomonadati; Gemmatimonadota; Gemmatimonadia; Gemmatimonadales; Gemmatimonadaceae.
UCCCCGCUUUACGGGGCAGUCUCGCCAGAGAAUACAACUGGCAACAGGGGUUGCGCUCGUUGCGGGACUUAACCCAACACCUCACGACACGAGCUGACGACAGCCAUGCAGCACCUGUCCAACGGUCCCGAAGGAGGGGCUCGGUUUCUCGAGCCUUUCCCCUGGAUGUCAAGCCCAGGUAAGGUUCUUCGCGUUGCGUCGAAUUAAACCACAUGCUCCACCGCUUGUGCGGGCCCCCGUCAAUUCCUUUGAGUUUCAGCCUUGCGGCCGUACUCCCCAGGCGGGGCACUUAAUGCGUUAGCGCCGGCACCCAGGGGGUCGCUCCCCCAGGCACCUAGUGCCCAUCGUUUACGGCGUGGACUAC